UACAGAGGUGCGAGCGUUGUCGGAAUCACUGGCGUAAAGGCGCGUAGGUGGUGGCUAAGCGUGCGGUGAAAGCUCGGAGCUCAACUCCGAGUCGGCCGUGCGAACUGGCUCACUGGAGCAUAGUAGAGGCAGGUGGAAUUCGGGUGUAGCGGUGGAAUGCGUAGAGAUCGGAAGAACACCGGUGGCGAAGGCGGCCUGCUGGCUAUGGCUGACACUGAGGCGCGACAGCGUGGGAGCAAACAGG
This 244-nucleotide ribosomal RNA is filed under the name uncultured bacterium. RNAcentral's name for it is "partial 16S ribosomal RNA". It matches the Rfam family "Bacterial small subunit ribosomal RNA", at positions 524 to 776 of the family's 1533-position model. The record is from RNAcentral.